CCAAAUUUUUAAGUUAAGAUUUGUGAAGAAAGAGCUUUUAUAUAAGAGUUUUUAGGCUUAUAUUUAAAUUUUUUCUUCAUAAAUCUUAGCUAAGAUUUGG
Arabidopsis thaliana (thale cress) is the source of this 100-nucleotide microRNA precursor. It matches the Rfam family "MIR1888 microRNA precursor family". NCBI's taxonomy places the organism in Eukaryota, Viridiplantae, Streptophyta, Magnoliopsida, Brassicales, Brassicaceae. The record is from Rfam.